GAUCCUGGCUCAGGAUGAACGCUGGCGGCGUGCUUAACACAUGCAAGUCGAGCGAAGCAAUCUAAGUGAAGUUUUCGGAUGGAUCUUGGAUUGACUGAGCGGGCGGACGGGUGAAGGUAACGCGUGGAUAACCUGCCUCACACAGGGGGAUAACAGUUAGAAAUGACUGCUAAUACCGCAUAAGCGCACAGUACCGCAUGGUACAGUGUGAAAAACUCCGGU
Molecule: ribosomal RNA, 222 nt
Filed under: uncultured bacterium
Lineage: Bacteria
Description: partial 16S ribosomal RNA
Rfam family: Bacterial small subunit ribosomal RNA
Source: RNAcentral